RNAcentral lists this ribosomal RNA (468 nucleotides) under uncultured bacterium. Its description in RNAcentral is "partial 16S ribosomal RNA". It matches the Rfam family "Bacterial small subunit ribosomal RNA", at positions 28 to 507 of the family's 1533-position model. The record is from RNAcentral.
GACGAACGCUGGCGGCGUGCUUAACACAUGCAAGUCGAACGGAAAGGCCCUGCUUUUGUGGGGUGCUCGAGUGGCGAACGGGUGAGUAACACGUGAGUAACCUGCCCUUGACUUUGGGAUAACUUCAGGAAACUGGGGCUAAUACCGGAUAGGAGCUCCUGCUGCAUGGUGGGGGUUGGAAAGUUUCGGCGGUUGGGGAUGGACUCGCGGCUUAUCAGCUUGUUGGUGGGGUAGUGGCUUACCAAGGCUUUGACGGGUAGCCGGCCUUGGAGGGUGACCGGCCACAUUGGGACUGCGAUACGGCCCAGACUCCUACGGUAGGCAGCAGGGGAGAAUCUUACACAAUGGGCGGAAGCCUGAUGCAGCAACGCCGCGUGCGGGAUGACGGCCUUCGGGUUGUAAACCGCUUUCGCCUGUGACGAAGCGUGAGUGACGGUAAUGGGUAAAGAAGCACCGGCUAACUACGUG